Molecule: ribosomal RNA, 433 nt
Filed under: uncultured bacterium
Lineage: Bacteria
Description: partial 16S ribosomal RNA
Rfam family: Bacterial small subunit ribosomal RNA
Source: RNAcentral
AACGAACGCUGGCGGCAUGCCUAACACAUGCAAGUCGAACGAGACCUUCGGGUCUAGUGGCUCACGGGUGCGUAACGCGUGGUAACCUGCCCUUAGGUUCGGAAUAACUCCCCGAAAGGGGUGCUAAUACCGGAUAAUGUCUUCGGACCAAAGAUUUAUCGCCUUUGGAUGGGCCCGCGUUGGAUUAGCUAGUUGGUAGGGUAAAAGCCUACCAAGGCGACGAUCCAUAGCUGGUCUGAGAGGAUGAUCAGCCACACUGGGACUGAGACACGGCCCAGACUCCUACGGGAGGCAGCAGUGGGGAAUAUUGGACAAUGGGCGAAAGCCUGAGCCAGCAAUGCCGCGUGAGUGAUGAAGGCCUUAGGGUUGUAAAGCUCUUUUACCCGGGAUGAUAAUGACAGUACCGGGAGAAUAAGCUCCGGCUAACUCCGUG